AGAAGUAAAAGUCGUAACAAGGUUUCCGUAGGUGAACCUGCGGAAGGAUCAUUAUCGAACUUCGAGGGCGAGGCGGACUGUCGCUGGCUUCGGCCGUGCACGUCCACCUUUCUCUUACUCUCACACCUGUGCACACAUYGUAGGUCCUCGAAAGAGGAUCUAUGUUUCGAUCGUCACACACAUCGUAUGUCUAGAAUGUAUUACGAUCGUCGUUCGACCUCGCGGUCGUGGGGCGGUCUAAAACAAAUACAACUUUCAGCAACGGAUCUCUUGGCUCUCGCAUCGAUGAAGAACGCAGCGAAUUGCGAUAAGUAAUGUGAAUUGCAGAUUUUCAGUGAAUCAUCGAAUCUUUGAACGCACCUUGCGCUCCUUGGUAUUCCGAGGAGCAUGCCUGUUUGAGUGUCAUGUAAUUCUCAACCAUGUCUUGAUUGAUUUCGGGGCAUGGCUUGGAAGUGGGGGUUGCUGGCGGCGAAGGCUGUCGGCUCUCCUGAAAUGCAUUAGCGACGGACAGCAAGUCUGACGUGCACGGCCUCGACGUGAUAAUGAUCAUCGUGGCUGGAGCGUCGGACGAGCGCGAUACGUCCCUUUGCUUCCAAUCCUUUGACUUGGGAAUAGGACUUUCGAGCGAAGCUUUAGUUACUAGUCGGUCGUGAGACCGACGAACGCAGGGCGGGAUCGAAGGUCGGAAGGCCCUCGUCUUUCUUGAYGACUUGACCUCAAAUCAGGUAGGACUACCCGCUGAACUUAAGCAUAUCAAUAAGCGGAGGAAAAGAAACUAACAAGGAUUCCCCUAGUAACUGCGAGUGAAGCGGGAUGAGCUCAAAUUUUGAAUCUGGCGGUCUUUGGCUGUCCGAGUUGUAAUCUAGAGAAGCGUCUUCCG
RNAcentral lists this ribosomal RNA (880 nucleotides) under Xerocomellus chrysenteron. RNAcentral describes it as "eukaryotic LSU rRNA". The stretch from base 251 to 405 matches the Rfam family "5.8S ribosomal RNA". Lineage: Eukaryota; Fungi; Basidiomycota; Agaricomycetes; Boletales; Boletaceae. The record is from RNAcentral.